RNAcentral lists this long non-coding RNA (841 nucleotides) under Vigna radiata. Its description in RNAcentral is "long non-coding RNA (VRAD_LNC007331)". Lineage: Eukaryota; Viridiplantae; Streptophyta; Magnoliopsida; Fabales; Fabaceae. The record is from RNAcentral.
UGAAGGAGUUUAGUUAAUGCUAAUGACUAAAUUAAAAUGAAAAUUAAACGCACCAAACAUAAUUAAAAACAUCGAAAUAAAUGAACAAAACAUGAAGACGGAAUAAUAUCUAAAGCAAGUGGGGAAAUUGGAAAUGCAAGAUAAAGAAACCGAACGGAACAAGAAUCAUAGUGAACGAAAACCGUAAAUUAAACAGUCUUAAAGAAAGAUAUGUGAACUAAUUAAAAUGCAACAAAUAAUAAAAAUAACUUGACUAAAAAUAAAAUACACAUGGACCAAAUUAAAUGCAACAAAUAAAUAAAAAAAAAAGUGCUGCAAUAAAACUUUAAAUAAGAAAAUAAAAAAAAACAUGUUUGUGAAACCGUGCAGCACUAUUGAAAUUAAUGUUCAAGUGCGUGAAUCAUUUUAAAUGCAAUGAGAAAAAUACAUUAAGGCAUAAGUUGAAAUGUAAGCUCUUGAAUUCUUUUCUUUAACAAAGACAUUCUUGCAUAAAAAAAAAAAUCACCGCUCCCACCUAAUACCAUAUGAAAUAAGCAUAUUAUCUAAAGGUAAAAGAAAUGAAAAUUGCUCCUUCCUCUUCUCGGGAAUGUGCAAGGUGCCAAAUGAAAAAUAAAAUCCCAGAGUAAGUGGCGGCUGCACCGUCCAAAUGAAAAUAAAAUAUUAAAAUCUAAUCACCAUACACUUUGCUAAAAAUUUGAAUGAACUUCUAGGAAAGCAUAAUCACGAGGUCGUUACAACACUUGCUUCAAACUUCCAGCAACGUCCUAUCGUGUGCCCAUUUAAUUACCUCUUCAUCACCCAAGAAAUAAAUGAAAAGAAAAAGAUACUACUUCAUCACCCA